UAUUAGCACCCGUAGCCCAUACUUUGCUCCACGGUUUAAAACCGUCGGGGAAAGCCCUUUAUAAUAAAACGCGCGACAAACCCUCUACAUUUCAGAUCACGUUUUCCCUCUUAUUUGCUCCAAACCCUCUCAUUUGCCCCAAACCACGGUAAGACUCUCUCUCGUUCUUUAUCAUCGAUUUCACUCACAACUCUCUCUCUCUCUCUUACGGCGACGCAGCUCUGCCACCACCGGCGACGCACCACUGCCACCUCUCCACUGCCGAGAGCCACUCCGCCGAGCGCCACCAUCGUGUAUCGGCUCUGUUGCGUUGAUUCAAGAUUACACAAGUAGCUAGCUUUAUUGGAGAAAGGGUAAGAGCAAUCUGUACUCAAAUAACGAGAUGAAUAUUCUGCGUGAUCAGUGGAUUGAAUAGGCCCGAGCACACGCAGGGCGACAAGGGCUAUUAUGAUGAUUAGUUUUUAUGUUUGUUUAUACUUUACACUAUAACCAGUUACUUUCAUAUAACUAAAGAUUAAUUCAUAUUUAUACUUUAUGUUUGAGUACGUAGUUUGUAUAUAUUUCAAUUUUUGUUAAUUUUUAAUUUAUGUUUAUACUUUAUCUUAACUAAUUAGUGACAAUGUAUAAAUUAGUAAAAAUUAAUUA
Molecule: long non-coding RNA, 645 nt
Organism: Cannabis sativa
Lineage: Eukaryota; Viridiplantae; Streptophyta; Magnoliopsida; Rosales; Cannabaceae
Exons: 3
Source: RefSeq, a predicted model, not a curated record